UGAAUAGAUUAAGAGAAAUCCGGAUUACAAAAUGUCAAGAACACA
This 45-nucleotide small RNA is filed under the name Arabidopsis thaliana (thale cress). RNAcentral describes it as "ATSL197090". Lineage: Eukaryota; Viridiplantae; Streptophyta; Magnoliopsida; Brassicales; Brassicaceae. The record is from RNAcentral.